AUCUUAAAUUAAAACACGAAAUAUGACAAUCUAUGGUUCCAAGUCACAGUUCAAUUCAAAUCGCUAGUGGUCGUCUCUUUUUGAGUUGAGUCCGAAGUUGUUACUCGCCUCUGCGAUCAAACGGCAUCAGGUUUGUUUUGGUUGCCAUGCGAAUUAUUUCCAAACCAACUUCCUGUUGAAUGGUGUUUGCGAAUUGGCUCACAAUUUCUUAAAGGGUUAAAAGGAGGUAAUGUCCAGCUUUAUUCACAAGUUCCGUAAUCCAAUAGCUGUUUGCUCUUAAUUUGCUGUUGAAUGGUGUUUGCGAAUCGGCUGAGAAUUUAUUGGAGGGUUGAAAGUGAAAAGGUUGGU
This is a long non-coding RNA of Frankliniella occidentalis (western flower thrips), 348 nucleotides long. RefSeq lists it as uncharacterized. The transcript has 3 exons. The record is from RefSeq and is a predicted model, not a curated record. Lineage: Eukaryota; Metazoa; Arthropoda; Insecta; Thysanoptera; Thripidae.